UAUUAACCCUUUUCAUUUUGUUUUGGAAGUAAAUAUUUCUCUCAUGUUUCAGGUACCCAAACUUGGCGGAGGCAACACGGCAUCCAUGUUUGCAUUCUUGAAAGAUGUGGAAGCUGGUGGUGAAAUGGUCUUCCCCUAUUACAGAGUUAGAAUCACACCUCGACUGGGUAGUGUAGUAUACUAUCUGGCAUCUAGAAGUUUUAUGAUGGUUUGUCCAGUAGCUUACGGUACAUAAUGGCUGUCCGUAAUGUCUUUUUAUGAAGAACAUAAGUAUGGAUUUUGUCGAGAUCACGAUCAACCAUAAACGCAAGAUAACUCUUUACGUUAUUCACAUCCAUCGUCAGGUCAUUCUCAAAGAUUAAUUCUCUUGGAUUAACAUUAUAAUUACCUUUGAAUAAUAUAAAGUAUGACACUUUUAUAUUUCUUAAAUUGCCAAAAUCAUUUCCUUUUACUUAGAAAGAUUUUGAAAAUAUUCUUAUAAUACAUGUAGUUAUUUAUAAAUCUCUAUAUAUGUGGCAUAUCUACUUAAAACUAUUUAUUUUUUUCAAUUUAUAAAAAUCUAUCAUGCACUUAGUUUAACAAAAUCUACUUAAAACUAUUUAUUUUUUUCAAUUUAUAAAAAUCUUAUCAUGUACUUAGUUUAACAAAAUGUGGAGUUAGUUCCCCUUAAUUUAGCGUUACACAGUUUUAGAUCGCUUAAUGUUUAGCUAUACAGAUUGUCCUGUCCGGAUUGUACUGUCCGGAUUGUCAUCUAAAUGUAAAAGGUUUGGCAUUUUCAGAAAAAAGGGUGCCUCCUUUCUAGUUGCCAUUAAAAUGUCAAUGGAAGGCCCCGUACGUAGAAGAUGUUUUUACUCCCUUAGAACUCCACUGAUGAACGUCUGUCUAUGUAUAUAUUAAGUUAUUGUCCUGUUCUUUGUAUAUUUUGUAGACAAUAAAUCAUUAUAAUAUAUAACAAAAGUUUCCACAUUUAUAUAUUCUAUAAUUGACGGCUGAAAAGCGUA
Molecule: long non-coding RNA, 1001 nt
Organism: Patella vulgata (common limpet)
Lineage: Eukaryota; Metazoa; Mollusca; Gastropoda; Patellidae
Exons: 4
Source: RefSeq, a predicted model, not a curated record